Molecule: ribosomal RNA, 450 nt
Filed under: uncultured bacterium
Lineage: Bacteria
Description: partial 16S ribosomal RNA
Rfam family: Bacterial small subunit ribosomal RNA
Source: RNAcentral
GUCGAGAAUAAUUCACAAUGGACGAAAGUCUGAUGGUGCAACGCCGCGUGGAGGAUGAAGGUCUUCGGAUUGUAAACUCCUGUCAUCGGGGAGUAAGACCUGGCGGUAAAUAGCCGACAGGGUUGAUAGUACCCGAAGAGGAAGGGACGGCUAACUUCGUGCCAGCAGCCGCGGUAAUACGAAGGUCCCAAGCGUUGUUCGGAAUCACUGGGCGUAAAGGGAGCGUAGGCUGCGUGGUAAGUCAGAUGUGAAAUCCCGGGGCUCAACCGCGGAACUGCAUCCGAUACUGCCAUGCUUGAGGGUUGGAGAGGUAGCUGGAAUUCUCGGUGUAGCAGUGAAGUGCGUGGAUAUCGAGAGGAACACUCGUGGCGAAGGCGAGCUACUGGACAACAUCUGACGCUGAGGCUCGAAGGCCAGGGGAGCAAAAGGGAUUAGAUACCCCUGUAGUCC